GACGAACGCUGGCGGCGUGCUUAACACAUGCAAGUCGAACGGAAAGGCCCUGCUUUUGUGGGGUGCUCGAGUGGCGAACGGAUGAGUAACACGUGGGUAACCUGCCCUUGACUUUGGGAUAACUUCAGGAAACUGGGGCUAAUACCGGAUAGGAGCUCCUGCUGCAUGGUGGGGGUUGGAAAGUUUCGGCGGUUGGGGAUGGACUCGCGGCUUAUCAGCUUGUUGGUGGGGUAGUGGCUUACCAAGGCUUUGACGGGUAGCCGGCCUGAGAGGGUGACCGGCCACAUUGGGACUGAGAUACGGCCCAGACUCCUACGGGAGGCAGCAGUGGGGAAUAUUGCACAAUGGGCGGAAGCCUGAUGCAGCAACGCCGCGUGCGGGAUGACGGCCUUCGGGUUGUAAACCGCUUUCGCCUGUGACGAAGCGUGAGUGACGGUAAUGGGUAAAGAAGCACCGGCUAACUACGUG
This 468-nucleotide ribosomal RNA is filed under the name uncultured bacterium. Its description in RNAcentral is "partial 16S ribosomal RNA". It matches the Rfam family "Bacterial small subunit ribosomal RNA", at positions 28 to 507 of the family's 1533-position model. The record is from RNAcentral.